CUGGGGAUAUAGCUUAGUGGUGGAGCACUUGCCUAGCAUGCAGGAGGCCCUAGGUUUGAUACCCAGUACUAGG
RNAcentral lists this transfer RNA (73 nucleotides) under Marmota monax (woodchuck). RNAcentral's name for it is "tRNA.Ala". The stretch from base 8 to 68 matches the Rfam family "tRNA", at positions 6 to 65 of the family's 71-position model. From Rfam's summary of the family: Transfer RNA (tRNA) molecules are approximately 80 nucleotides in length. The record is from RNAcentral. Lineage: Eukaryota; Metazoa; Chordata; Mammalia; Rodentia; Sciuridae.